UAGGGAAUAUUGGACAAUGGGCGAAAGCCUGAUCCAGCAACGCCGCGUGCACGAUGAAGGUCUUCGGAUUGUAAAGUGCUUUUAAGGGAGAUGAUAAAGGACAGUAUCCCUUGAAUAAGCCCCGGCGAACUACGUGCCGGCAGCCGCGGUAAAACGAAGGAGGCAAGUGUCAUCCGGAUUUAUGGGGCGUAAAGCGCGUGCAGGCUGUUUGGAAAGUUGGAUGUGAAAGCUCCUGGCUUAACUGGGAGAGGUCGUUCAAAACUACCAAACUAGAGAAUGGGAGAGGGAAGUGGAAUUCCGGGUGUAGUGGUGAAAUGCGUAGAUAUCCGGAGGAACACCAGUGGCGAAAGCGGCUUCCUGGACCAUUUCUGACGCUUAGACGCGAAAGCUAGGGGAGCGAACGG
Molecule: ribosomal RNA, 404 nt
Filed under: uncultured bacterium
Lineage: Bacteria
Description: bacterial SSU rRNA
Rfam family: Bacterial small subunit ribosomal RNA
Source: RNAcentral